AUGCUUGAAUUUUGUCGUUACUACCACCUAGCCCACUCUAGACAAGUUUUAUACGAUUACUAUUAUCAUCAUCCUAUGGACGAGCAAACUGAGGCUCUGGUAACUUGCCCAAGGUCGCACCUAGAACAUGGUGCAGCUGGAAUUUACUCAGGCCAUCUGGCCCCAGAGUACAUGUCUUUCACCAUCACACUACACCCCCUCACAGGGUGGAAGAAAGUGGUCUUCCUGCCUGUCUGUAAUGGCCUUUAUAGAUGUAGUGAGUAAACUGGGUUCCAAGGUUUUGGACUUUUUAAGACAAAAUUCCAAUGUUUAUUACCAAAAUUAAAAAAAAAAUUUGUAGCUGUAUAGGAUACAAGAUUGAAUGAGAAAUCUCUGAGUUCUACGGUACAAUUGGAUGCCAAGAUUGGGAGGCUUAAUUUUUCUUUGCAGAAAACAUAAAAUUAUUUUUACUUAACUGUGAUGAUGCAUCGGUAACCUCAGUUUACCAUUAAUGUCAUAAUUUAACGGUGAUAACUAGGAACAAAUGUUGAUGAAGCAUGAUAUUAACUAAUAGUUAAAAGAUAAUAUCCAAACCUUUCUUUCUGGUUGUUAAUAUUCUACCCCAAAGGUCAGCACAUUUGAAGACAUCCAUUUCCAGUUGUUUCUUCUUUUUUAAGACUAAUUCCUAGUGGUGCACAAAGAGUUUCUGAGAACAGUCAUAACGCCAAAGUGGCAGUGCAUUUGAGAAACAUAAUUUUUACCUCAUUGCUUUCCCCAAAAUAAAUAUCUCAGUCAUGGAAAACACUGUUUAUUUGAAAACGAUGAGACCUCAAAUAUGAAAUAUAGUUAACAAUGACAUUGACAUUGUUGCUAUCACUUUCCCCUAAACCACCCGUAAGUCUUGGACGCAUGUGCAUGCAGCACAGAAACAAAAACAAAAAACCAAAUGCAACAAUCCAUGAUUGUUCAAUGACUCCUGAUGCUGGGUGGACAGCCUGUUAAAAGAAUUUGUCUCCCACAGGAUCUCUGGAGUGAGCACAACGCCCAUCACCUGUUAGUGAUCACAGACAUUCAGUUAACCUGUCCUUCCAGUAAUCAGAGGCAACAAUUCAGACCCUGGACUUCUCAGAAUACAUGUACUGCUGAAUCUUGGCUUUAAAACAAGGUGGCCUGGCUAAAUUGGGGCAGGCCAGCAGCCCCUUCCUUACAUUUGGUCCCAUUUGACAGAAAGUCUAACUUAAAGUUAUAAAUGUGCUCAUCUAUUUACUCUGAGAUCAAUCUAAUUUGACAGGUAAUCCCUAACAUUUUCUCCUUUAGCCAGCUGAGAGGCAGCUGUGGUGGAGACACAUGACAUGGGUUCAAGCCCCUCGUGAGCCCUGUGGUAGUUGCCAAGUCUUUUCCUUUCUUUAAGCCUCAAUAUCCUCACCUGAUAGAGGGGGAGAAAUUGACCCAAUGAUGAUUAACAUCAUGUAGUUCUGCAUGUGAAUUCUAGAAAACUGUUGCUCAAGCGUAACAUGUGACACCAAAUAGACUAUCUCUUAAGAUGAAUACCUACCUCCUAAAUUUCCUCACCUGGUGUAAUCAUAUCUUCCAGCUUCCUCUAGGGUUUUAGAAUCCUUAGGUUCAAAAAAGUCAUGAAGGCCGUCUAGCAUAUUUGUAUUCUGAUGAGAGAACCUUCCUCCAAGCAGCUAUACUUGUUCAACUUGAAAAUCUCCAAGGAAAAGAGGCUUUUCCUUCUCUGUGGACUGAUUUUAUAUACAGACCAAGGAAUCUUUCCUUCCACUUGACUGAGCUCCCUUGCUAAAACAAAAUAAGACCAGCAUUUUUUCCCUUUUCUUGGAGGAUCCAAAGAAAGAUCAGCUGACCACCAAAGUCCAGAAAGCAAUGGUAUCAUACAGCUCAUUCCUGGGAUGUCGCAAAUAAUGCCAAACUCUGAUGUACUCAGACUCCACUUCUCAGAUUAUCAUUUACUAAACGUCUGGGUGACUCCUUUUAGUGGAAACAGGCAAAUAAUAAUAUAGACCAGACUGAGGAUUUACUUAGAAGGGUUGAAUCCCAUCCUAUGGUAUGUAUUCACAGCCACAUGGCAUAAAAGAAAGAGCAUGGAGUUAAGAGUGAAGCUUCCUGGGUUCUAGGCCCACAUGGGAGCCAACCUGUACAACCACAUCCUCUGGGUUUCAUUUUUCCUUGGAAGGUCAGAAUCAAAGCCUUUCAUGAUUCCAUUCUGACUAAGCUCUGAUCUACAGAGAGAAUUACUGCAGGCUGCAUAAUAUUGUUCCUCAAUAAGACAAGGUGGGGCGAUGAUUACUGGAUGUUUACUAAGGAAGAAGGGCGGAGUCAGUCAUUUUUAUUGGCUUUAACCUUACAGGGCUCUUGAAGAUUGUUUUAAUUGCCCAUUUUAGAGAAAAGGAAGUUAAGACUCUGAGAGCUUAAACACGUUUCCCAAGAUCACACUAUGACUCCUUAGUAAGGCCAGGUCUCAAUUCAGGUGCUCGCACCAGGGCUUUUACAUUGCAACAAGCUAGCAACAGGUUUGGGGAAGAGCCAUUUUUUAAAACCCAGAGAAACAAAAUCAUGGAUAUUUCCCCUAGUUUUCUGGUAACUAAUGCAGUA
Molecule: long non-coding RNA, 2592 nt
Organism: Callithrix jacchus (white-tufted-ear marmoset)
Lineage: Eukaryota; Metazoa; Chordata; Mammalia; Primates; Cebidae
Source: Ensembl